UUGUGGGGAUUCUGUUGUGUGUCACCAGCGGGCGCUUGAACAAUACGGUGCGUUUCUUUAUAAUGGCCGACCCUAAAUGAGUGGUUGAGCGGCCGAACUGCCACUGCCAUAGCUCCCUGAAGCCAGCCGAAGUUCAGGGGCCGUCAGCCACGGAGAGCAGAUAAGGCAGAGAUACUGGGACUGGUCAGAUAGUGAAUUUGAAUGGCAGGUGUCAUAGUGCUUUGUACCAUGAAAAUUAAAAAAAACACUAAGAAGAUAUUUUCUUUUAAAAUUCUUUGCUGAGUUAUAUUCAGUUUUGAAACACUUCAAUUCCUGCCCAAGGCUGCUCUGGGAGACAUCUGGUGUUCUAGUUGGUCAGUCAUUACCAGCCAGAGAAGAGAAAUGAUGCCGAGUAUUUUUCCAGUCCUUCAGAUGCUGGAAUUCUAAUUCCCACUCCACUGAUCUGCUGUCUCCCAUGUAAUGCCCUUAUGUGGAUGGAUUUAAAGAGAUGGACACAAUGCCUUUAUUUAUUUAUAUGUGGUGCUGAGGACUGAAGCCAGCACCUCACAUGUGCAAGGUAAGUUCUCUACCACUGAGCCACAACCCCAGCCCUGCUUAUUUAUUUAUUUAUUUAUUUGUAGUGCUGAGAAUCGAACCCAGUGCCUCACAUAUGCUAGGCAAGUGCUCUACCAAUGAGCUACAACCCCAGCCUCUUGAUUUUAUUUUCGUAGAUGGUGUGAGGUUCAAUUUUUUUCCUAUGGAUGAACAUUUAUUCCAACACCAUUUUUUAAAAAAUUCUAUCCUUCUUCCAUUGAAGUUUGUUACACCAUUUGUAAAGUCAGUUGAGUGUACUUGUGCUGGUCUGUUACUCAUUUCCCUUGAUCUGUAUCUGUCACUCCCCAAGGAUCCUACUGUCUCAAUUUACUGUAUCCAUCCAAUAUUUUAACUUGCAAUAAAGAUAUUCCCCCAGUUUA
Marmota monax (woodchuck) is the source of this 953-nucleotide long non-coding RNA. RefSeq lists it as uncharacterized. NCBI's taxonomy places the organism in Eukaryota, Metazoa, Chordata, Mammalia, Rodentia, Sciuridae. The transcript is spliced from 5 exons. The record is from RefSeq and is a predicted model, not a curated record.